AGAACACACAUGUUUGGACUUCAGCUUGGAUAGCCCAGAACCCCUUCCCCCAUUCUUUUGGUAAGAGAUUCUGCCUUCCUGGCUACUCUCAUUCUAUUUCCAUGCUCUUUCUUGGGAAAAAAAAAAAUGGUCCCAGGAGUAGGAACCCUUCCUCAUCCUCUACAGAAAUUUGAAACUGAAUCUGAGAAAUCCUCUUUUUUCUUGGUCAUGAGAUAUGAGUGAUAGGGAUCAGAUAGAAGUGCGCAGUGGGAACAUGGAGUUAAGGAAUGGUUCUAUAAACUGACUGACCCCCACACGCUUUCUUUUUCUUCUUCUUCUUCUUCUUUUUUAAAGCAAUUUACAUGUGGCCCUGCUUGGAUUAAAUGGAUUGGAUAUGUUGUGUUCCUCAGCAAACUACCCAUUUUCUUCAGGACAAAUGCAGGCCUGAAAUACCAAUAAGAAGAACACAGGUUAUCCUGAAGUGGGGGGACUUUUGUGACCCUUAUACAGACUGGAUCCCAGAACUCAGAGAGAUAAGGAUAAUUCCCCCUAAGCAUAAAAUAUGUAAGAACAGGUUUCAAUUAGAACUGUUCAUUAUGGGCCAAAAUAACCAAGAGUUGUCUUGUGCAAUGAGGCCUUGAAAGUCCGGUGUCAUUUUUCUGUCAGUCAAAAGUCAAGAGGUAAACCAGGGUGAGACUCUGGAAACUUCUUUGGGAUGUGCCAAUAAAGCUGGAGGGAAGAAGAGGUAUGCUAUCCUUCUCCUCUGAGAGGACCCACUCUUUCCCUUGAGAGUUUCCCCUUUCCCUGUUUCCUAUCACUUCUGGUAAACUCAUGCCCAUUGCUUGAAAUCUUUCUAGCCUGCUGGCAAGAGUCAGGGUGAAGAGGGGGGCUGCUAGGCUGCCUCAGCUCAGCAGCAUGGCUGGUGCUUGGUAACUUGAGAAUACAUGUCUGGCUCUGCUAGAGGCCAGGUCUGAGUCUCAUGCAAAGGCCCAUCUGAAGAAAAUGGAGCAACCCCACAGGGAGAAACAGAGGUAAGAAACCCAGGGUCCUGAUCAAGUCUUGGCUCUAGCUACUCCUGAGCCUGGCCUAGGGCUUGAACCAGUGCAUUCCCACAUUUCACUUAAGCUGGGGUUUUGUUUUUUAGUUUUUGUAUUUGUUUUUCAGUACUGGGGAUAGAACUGGGGUCCUUCUACAUGCUAGCAAAGCACUCUACUACUGAGCUACAUCCCCAGUCCUUACCUAUUUAUUCAUUAUUUUUGCAUUACUGGGGAUUGAACCUAGAGGGUCUCUACCACUGAACCACACCCCACACUCUUUCAAAAUUUUAUUUUGAGAUUGGGUCUCUCAAAGUUGUCCAGGCUUGCCUUGGGCAACUUACCAUCUUCCUGCCUCAUACUCCCUUAUACCAAUGUUACCGCUGUUGACCAGUGACGAGUCCUUGCUUCCCCAGUGUUGAAGAAUAACACCAAAGAAGCACUCCAAGGCAAGGUCAGAGUAGAAAUUAGAAGUUUAUUAAAGGACAGCAGAAAAGACUUGUCCCGGAGGAAGAAGGGGACCCAAGAGGUGGAAUCCGUGGAAGUGUG
RNAcentral lists this long non-coding RNA (1562 nucleotides) under Marmota monax (woodchuck). Lineage: Eukaryota; Metazoa; Chordata; Mammalia; Rodentia; Sciuridae. The record is from RNAcentral.